AGAGUUUGAUCAUGGCUCAGAUUGAACGCUGGCGGCGUGCUUAACACAUGCAAAGUCGUGCGAGAGAGGGGACUUCGGUCCCUGAGUAGAGCGGCGCACGGGUGAGUAACGCGUGGAUAAUCUCCCCAGAAAGUUCGGGAUAACGGCGGGAAACUGCCGCUAAUACCGGAUACGCUCCAAUUUCGGUUGGGGGAAAAGGCGGCCUCUGUUUACAAGCUGUCGCUUCUGGAUGAGUCCGCGUCCCAUUAGCUUGUUGGUGGGGUAAUGGCCUACCAAGGCUACGAUGGGUAGCUGGUCUGAGAGGAUGAUCAGCCACACUGGAACUGAAACACGGUCCAGACUCCUACGGGAGGCAGCAGUGGGGAAUAUUGCGCAAUGGGGGAAACCCUGACGCAGCGACGCCGUGUGAGGGAUGAAGGCUUUCGGGUCGUAAACCUCUGUCGGGAGGGAAGAACCUUCUAAGUCCUAAUAAGACU
This 476-nucleotide ribosomal RNA is filed under the name uncultured delta proteobacterium. RNAcentral's name for it is "bacterial SSU rRNA". It matches the Rfam family "Bacterial small subunit ribosomal RNA", at positions 8 to 469 of the family's 1533-position model. The record is from RNAcentral. Lineage: Bacteria; Deltaproteobacteria.